UUUCCUACAGAAGUCCCUGAAGGAUAAUUGGGUCUCACACUGGGAAAGAGUGAAACCUCUAAUCAGACUUCUCCAGUCUCAACAAGGCACCCCAGUCACUGACCAAGCGGCUGCCAAUCAGGUUUCAGGUGCCCUGCAGUGGGGAGACAAGGCGCUGUGUGUGACACCGCCACACAAUUUUUACCUUCUGUCUGCUUCCUACUUCUCAUGCUCACCCAGCCAUGGCAAAAGGCUCACCUGUGGCCUCCCCACCCCGCAGAGUGGACCUCCUGUCUGUGCUCCUGUGGUCCAGAAUUAGUGACAAGGAAGAUGAGAGAGAACCAAAACAGAACUGUCUUCCAAGCCACCAUGACCAGACUCGGCAUCAACUGGGAAUCUGACAGAAAUAGAAAUUCACAGGUUCUACCAGACCCACUGGGCCGACUCUCACCGUGCUUCUGAUGCGUGGCUGCCGGCACUGCACCCCGAGAGUUGAGAGAGACACAGAAAGCCCGUGUCUUUUCACCAACCUGAAGCCAAAUGUUGGGAAUUUGAGUUCGGUCAUCUGUAAGAAUAAAAACUAAACCGCUUCACAAG
This 576-nucleotide long non-coding RNA is filed under the name Fukomys damarensis (Damara mole-rat). RNAcentral's name for it is "lncRNA (ENSFDAG00000024886.1)". The record is from RNAcentral. Lineage: Eukaryota; Metazoa; Chordata; Mammalia; Rodentia; Bathyergidae.